Long non-coding RNA from Rhagoletis pomonella (apple maggot), 979 nucleotides. RefSeq lists it as uncharacterized. Lineage: Eukaryota; Metazoa; Arthropoda; Insecta; Diptera; Tephritidae. The transcript is spliced from 4 exons. The record is from RefSeq and is a predicted model, not a curated record.
GUUCGGGAAAACUUUUCAUCCAGCAGGACAGCGAGGAUUCUUGGCCCUCCUAUAACAGAAAACGCACAUCUGUGCUCUUGAGUUUCCUUAUGAGGACUUUUACUGGCUUACGCAUCGGAAAAAUGUUGUAGUUGCAAGAUCAAAGAAGAUUAUGCACGCUUGGCAGAGAUUUCACAGGUGGAAAUAAGACCAUCCGCGGCAAAGCUCAUGUCACCGAAAGGGAUUAGUUUUUCAUACAGUAUCACAGCGUUACUAUUCUCGGUCUAUGUGUGAGGAAGAUACCGUGCUUUAGUGGUUUCAACUUACUAAAAAUUUUGACUUUACAGACUGUUUUUUCUUUUGUUUUUGUUUAGCAUUAACCGACGCAAAAGUUCUUAUUAGGCGCCGUGAAGCAAGUGGGCAUUGGCUAGUAUACGUAUAAAAUUGUGAAGAACGUUCAUUUAGGAAUUCUAUAAUGGCUCUGGGUAACCGUUACCAUUGCAUUGCCUGUUGAAGAUGUGGCCGAAGCAUAGCUGAAUGUAGCUGAAAAACUUAGUGCGAAAAUGCCAUUGGCCUAAAACACGCACGAAUAAUUGUGCAAGCAUGGUUUGUUGGCGAGGGGAAUGAAGACAAUACAUUGUUCGAUUUCAUUUGUCGAAGCUUCGUUGGAUGUAAAUUUUUUAGUUGCGCAUAGCACCAUGCUGGAUGGAAAAAUUGGAGAAGUUCGAUAAUGCCAUUGAGUGUUACUGGAAAGCCUGCACUGUGGGUUAUAUUGUAGCAGCGGAAAAUUUAAAUGAUAAACGAAUGCAAUCGCCAUAGUAGCAGACACCUCAUCAGGCAAUAUUAUGUAAAUGGAGUUUAGCGAUCCUGCAAUCGGAUUUGAAAAUGUCCAACAAACGCCGGCAAUCAGUGGUAAAGGCACUUCUAGUCUAAUUUUCAAAUAUUUUACGCUUAACUAACAAAUUUUUAAUAAAUUGUUUUAAUAGUUAUUUCUAUUGUA